RNAcentral lists this long non-coding RNA (1470 nucleotides) under Carassius auratus (goldfish). RNAcentral's name for it is "lncRNA (ENSCARG00000000798.1)". The record is from RNAcentral. Lineage: Eukaryota; Metazoa; Chordata; Actinopteri; Cypriniformes; Cyprinidae.
GCAGAGCUGGGCAGUGUUACCUGUGGAGGUUUGCAUGCACAAAUGAGCAGAAUGGUUUCAGAUGGUGAUGUGGUCGCUCUGGAAGCAUUGCAUGCGAUUCAAGGUGGACAAAAUGCAUCACACUUUUGGCAACAAAAUAAUCAUCACAACGUCCUCACGUUGCGUUCGGAAGUUGCAUCCAAUUUGACGACUGUGUGUAUGAAGCAUGCGGCGAAGGCUGUAUCUCCUGUUCUGUUUGGUUCCUGGCCCCAUAUGCCACUUUCCUAUUUCCUGGCUGUAGACAGCAGGGAGUAGCUCUAUUAUCACCUCCACUGAGCUGUCUUUGAAUGUGAGAGGCAAUUCCAUUUCACUUUGCCACGGGGAGGAGGAGGCAGGCGUACUACCCAGCUCAAAGAAAUUGGCUAAGGGUUCAUUUUUAUAGACGGAGUGCAAGGACAACGCUUUUCCUCUUGUGUUACUGAGAGUUUCAAAUGUACUACACUAAUGCUACGAUUGCUAUGGUGAAAAUUGCUCAAUAUGGGUUUUGACAGGUGCAUGGAUCAAAACUGUUUGUUUGCAUCAGAGAGGUGUCACUGCAUUUAAAUAUUGCACAUCCAGCCAUUUAUUCAUAUAGAUUGCUAUUGAUGCACGGCCAUUCUUUAAUUUUCUUUUCGGUUUGUUUGAACUAAAACAUGGUUUAUGCAAUUAUUUCAACUAGUUCCUUGAUUUUCUGCUUUGGAGGUUUUUAAAUGUACUGCAUUGAUUGCAUGUCACGAUUGCUAUUGUGAAAAUAGUUUAAUAUUGAGAGGUGCACAGAUCAAGACUGUUUGUUUCAUAGGUGACAUUGCACUCAAGUAUUACACACAGAGUCAUUUAUUUAUAUAUUUAUGUUUCUAGCAUUGCUAUCUUAUUGAUGCAUGGUUCAAUUUGGUUUGCUUGAUUCUUCUAUAAUUAGUUUGAAUCAAAACAUUCUUUAUUCAAGUAUUUAAACUAGUUAUGAUAUAUUGUACAAUCAUGGUAUCUAAGUAUUUUACAGGUGCACAAAUCAAGACUGUUUUCAUCAGAGAGGUGCCACUGCAUUCAAAUAUUGCACAUCUAUGUUUUUAGAAUUGCUAUGAUUGAUGCAAAACCAUUUCUAAUUUUCACUUUGGUGUGAUUGAUUAUUCCAUAAUCCAAAUACAUGCUUUAUGCAAGUAUUUGAAGUAGUUUUGCAGUCUUGAUUUUGUGCAUUGCUAUAUGUCAGAAACAUGUAAAACUGCACUUGAAGGACACGUUGCACUCUUGCCAUUGCCACAUGAUGCGCUAUGGUUUCUAUCAGCACAAAUAGUUUUCUUCUACAGUCAGUUUUCUUAGUUAGUAUAGUAAGUUCAAUUAUAACACAGAAAUGUCCUAUUAUGCAUUUGAUUGCUGCUGCUUCGUGCAACCACAGUAAUGUGAAAAUGCACAUAAAAGUUGAACCACAAAAUUGCGUGGUUGUAAUGCAUUGAGUAA